Molecule: long non-coding RNA, 1885 nt
Filed under: Hordeum vulgare
Lineage: Eukaryota; Viridiplantae; Streptophyta; Magnoliopsida; Poales; Poaceae
Description: long non-coding RNA (HVUL_LNC015674)
Source: RNAcentral
AUACUCUAUAAACAAAGCUAACACUCGCUCAUCGAGUUAUUCUUCUGGUGAAACUUUUAUGUGCUACAAAUAACUAAAUAACUAGUGUACGUAUUACAUAAGUAGUGUUAGUACAAAUAUUGCAGGUUGGCAUUUGGACGAAAAUUCAAAGUUAACAUAAACCAAACCAGUCAUCUCCAUCCAAAAUGUGCUACUGUUAGUGGCAAUGUUAGGUAACACGGUUGUCAAAUUUGCAUGCUAGAAGAGCAAAACUAGGUUGUACAAAGAAGAUAAAGCCAUGAUAACUAUUAUCAAGAACAAAAAUGGCUCAUACUUGUACAUAUAUCCUGCCAAAACCAUACUACGGUAAGAGAUAGAGGUUAUUAGGGCAACUAACACAGAGCCGAUGGUAGUGCUACAUCAUUUCUUAACAUGUGUCUAUCUACCGCGAAAUAAAAGGUUCAUUUAUUUUGUGCCAGAGGUAGUAAUCUCCUCGACCAAACGUACACAGGCACACACACAAAACCGACCUCAGGUCAACUAACCAAAACAUAUUAGAUGAGCAGUUUGAGCAGUGGCCACAAUUUCCGCUUUGGUCCAUCCAUGUCAGUAUCACUAGUGCUUUAUAAACAUAAGUAGUCACUUUUUGGGGUAAAAAACUAAUGUUGGUAGCAGCACUUAUAGAAAAUCUAUUGGAAAAUAGCAGGGGCCAUGGAACGCACUUAUUCCACUAAUACUGGAAACUACUUGCAAUCAUGUUUGUACAAUAAUUCUCAAGGACAAACACAUGCAACAUGCAAACACAAAGUGCAGCCAUCAGUUAUGUGUUUCAUGCAGUUUAAUCAACAAACCUAUUUGAUUACCCAUAGAGAUAGAAUGACUCUUGAGAUGCUAGAAACUUACUCAAGUAUGUUAACAAAAAAUGCAUUUAAAAUUCAUAAUACUCACAAGGUAAAAUGCAACUUGCCGGUGACUCUUAUCAGCAGCAAGUUGGGCCGGACUUAACCCAGUAUUGUCUUGCACCAUAAGGUCCUUCUUCUUACCAACCUGAACUAACAGAGUACAUGACUCCAUAUUCCCCCGAAUGGCAGCCCAAUGUGAAGGAGUACAACCUACGGAAAGUAUUUAUGUCCAGAAUGAAUAUCAAGCUCCCAAAGAAACCAAUAGUAAGGAGAAUUCAUGCUUUCGUGAUUCAUCUUAAGGUGGUAGGAAGGCUUGUAAAAAAUUGAGUACAUAUCUUCUUUAUCUUGCCGCCCCCUAUAAGCGCCUAAAAACAAAAGGAGACGUAUGGAGUCUGCAAAUCCCUUAUAAGCAGCCCUACAAAUGUUAAGAAUAUUGACACAUCAAUAGGGCUACCAUGUAAUCAUGUUUCAAAGCAUAUUUAGAUGGGCACACAUGUAAAAAAGGAGAAAGUACAGACCAGUGAAGAGGAAUUCUGCCAUCAUUGUCAGGGACAUCAGGAUCAUCAUUCCAUUUUGAAAUAAUGUGAUAAAGAAAUGUUGUAUGAGCAUACCGUGCUGCAACAUGUGUGGUCUGUGACAUUACAGUAGAUUGAUUAAGGAACCAUAAAAAGAAAUACUCUGUAAACAAAGCUAACACUGGCUCAUCGAGUUAUUCUUAUGGUGAAACUUUUAUGUGCUACAAAUAACUAAAUAACUAGUGUACAUAUUACAUAAGUAGUGUUAGUACAAAUAUUGCAGGUUGGCAUUUGGAGGAAAAUUCAAAGUUAACAUAAACCAAACCAGUCACCUCCAUCCAAAAUGUGCUAGUGUUAGUGGCAAUGUUAGUAACACAGUUGUCAAAUUUGCAUGCUACAAGAGCAAAGUUAGGUUGUACAAAGAAGAUAAAGCCAUAAUAACUAUUAUCAAGAACAAGAAUGGCUCAUACUUGUACAUCUAUCCUGCCA